This 1181-nucleotide non-coding RNA is filed under the name Neisseria sp. oral taxon 020 str. F0370. RNAcentral describes it as "Bacterial small subunit ribosomal RNA". It matches the Rfam family "Bacterial small subunit ribosomal RNA", at positions 1 to 1173 of the family's 1533-position model. Lineage: Bacteria; Pseudomonadati; Pseudomonadota; Betaproteobacteria; Neisseriales; Neisseriaceae. The record is from Rfam by way of RNAcentral.
GAACAUAAGAGUUUGAUCCUGGCUCAGAUUGAACGCUGGCGGCAUGCUUUACACAUGCAAGUCGGACGGCAGCACAGAGAAGCUUGCUUCUUGGGUGGCGAGUGGCGAACGGGUGAGUAAUGUAUUGGAACGUACCGAGUAAUGGGGGAUAACCAAUCGAAAGAUUGGCUAAUACCGCAUACGUCCUGAGGGGGAAAGCGGGGGAUCUUCGGACCUCGCGUUAUUCGAGCGGCCAAUAUCUGAUUAGCUGGUUGGUGGGGUAAAGGCCUACCAAGGCGACGAUCAGUAGCGGGUCUGAGAGGAUGAUCCGCCACACUGGGACUGAGACACGGCCCAGACUCCUACGGGAGGCAGCAGUGGGGAAUUUUGGACAAUGGGCGCAAGCCUGAUCCAGCCAUGCCGCGUGUCUGAAGAAGGCCUUCGGGUUGUAAAGGACUUUUGUCAGGGAAGAAAAGGCUUUUGAUAAUACCAGGAGCUGAUGACGGUACCUGAAGAAUAAGCACCGGCUAACUACGUGCCAGCAGCCGCGGUAAUACGUAGGGUGCGAGCGUUAAUCGGAAUUACUGGGCGUAAAGCGGGCGCAGACGGUUUGUUAAGCAGGAUGUGAAAUCCCCGGGCUCAACCCGGGAACUGCGUUCUGAACUGGCAGGCUAGAGUGUGUCAGAGGGGGGUAGAAUUCCACGUGUAGCAGUGAAAUGCGUAGAGAUGUGGAGGAAUACCGAUGGCGAAGGCAGCCCCCUGGGAUAACACUGACGUUCAUGCCCGAAAGCGUGGGUAGCAAACAGGAUUAGAUACCCUGGUAGUCCACGCCCUAAACGAUGUCGAUUAGCUGUUGGGCAGCUUGACUGCUUAGUAGCGUAGCUAACGCGUGAAAUCGACCGCCUGGGGAGUACGGUCGCAAGAUUAAAACUCAAAGGAAUUGACGGGGACCCGCACAAGCGGUGGAUGAUGUGGAUUAAUUCGAUGCAACGCGAAGAACCUUACCUGGUCUUGACAUGUACGGAAUCCUCCAGAGACGGAGGAGUGCCUUCGGGAGCCGUAACACAGGUGCUGCAUGGCUUUCGUCAGCUCGUGUCGUGAGAUGUUGGGUUAAGUCCCGCAACGAGCGCAACCCUUGUCAUUAGUUGCCAUCAUUAAGUUGGGCACUCUAAUGAGACUGCCGGUGACAAACCGGAGGAAGG